Cinara cedri is the source of this 536-nucleotide non-coding RNA. NCBI's taxonomy places the organism in Eukaryota, Metazoa, Arthropoda, Insecta, Hemiptera, Aphididae. The record is from the annotation of a GenBank genome assembly.
GAACCCUUAAAAAUAACAUUAUAUUAUUGUUAGUAGCUUUUUAUUCAAUAAGUAUUUAGAUUAUAAAAUACUAUUUAACUAUCUGUUCCUUAAUUAAUUUGACAUUAUCAAGAAUGAAUGAUUGGAUAUAACAUUAUUUUGGAAUAACAAACUAUCGGGUGAAAAGUCUAUUCCAUUAGUAACUGGACAAUAUUUAUCAAUCCCAUUGAUGAAGUGAAUGUACACAGAUUUCUAUCUGAUUAAUUAAGGAACAGGUGGAUAGUUUGCAAUAUUUUUCAUCUUUUAAUAUUAUUCGACAUACCUAUAUAAUUAACAACAAUAUUAUACCCUUUUAUUAUUGUUAUAAUUUAACACAAAUAUUAAUUUGUAUUUAUCUAAGACUGCCAAUAUUGUCUUCCACAUAAUGUAUACAGUUAUAUUAUUAUAAUACUCUUUCAGUAAUACCAAUUUAAUGAAAUACACAUUAUAAUAUCUUAAAAAUUGUAGUUUUUUUAAUCAAACAAUUAAUGUACAUUAUAAUAUCAAUAAUUUUAUUG